RNAcentral lists this unclassified non-coding RNA (794 nucleotides) under Zea mays. RNAcentral's name for it is "misc RNA Zm00001eb319690". The record is from RNAcentral. Lineage: Eukaryota; Viridiplantae; Streptophyta; Magnoliopsida; Poales; Poaceae.
CACAGAUAAUCCGGCUUGCAGGUUUCACGUACUGAACCAAACAGGGCCUCAGUACAUCAGACCAGAGCAGUCUCUGCCUUCAUCAAUAAUAAUAAUAACAAGAUGCCAUGGCCAUCUCAACACGGGAGAAAGGAACUGCAGAGGUUGUUCCGAGGACAUCAAAUCUGUGCAGAAACCAAAAACAUGUGCUACACGCCUACACUGCUACCUCGAGGGCUCGAGGCUCCAAGAAGAAAAUAGAUCUUCAUCUCCAUCAAUAUUCAAUACUUGUUGUGUGCCAGGCGUGGUCGACCCUUGGCUGCGCAAUUGUGAGCAGCACACGAUGCGGCGGCACUGCCUAGCAUAUAUUGGUGAAGAAGAGGAACACGCCCAUGGCAAUGACGAUGAUGACGGCGGGCUCCGGCAACGCGCGCAAGUUGGCCGCGAGCGCGCGCAAGUUGGCCGCGAGCUCGGUGCCGACCUCGUCCACGCGGACGAACACCUUGUCCUCCGUCCACAACACAACAUGUAAUCGAUGCACCAUGGCAGCAGCGGCGACUGUAUAUAUCGACGAAGAAGAGGAACACGUCUGUGACGACGCCGACGAUGACAGCGGGCUUCAGCAACAUGCGCAGGUCGCCCGCGAGCUAGGCAGCGACCAUGCCCACGCGGGCGGACACCUCGUCCUCCAUCCACAACACGUAAUCGAUUACGCCGACCUCAACGUUCCGUUCACCAUUGUAGCGGCGAACGGCGUGGAGGAGGGGAGAAAGAGUAGGGUUGCGAGUCUGCGGGCGCUGAGAGCAUGAUUUUUU